Non-coding RNA from Phoenix dactylifera (date palm), 973 nucleotides. The record is from RefSeq and is a predicted model, not a curated record. NCBI's taxonomy places the organism in Eukaryota, Viridiplantae, Streptophyta, Magnoliopsida, Arecales, Arecaceae.
GCUAAGGAUUUCUGUUUUUCGACAACCUAGGUUCUUCAGUAAAGAAAAUGGUGGUAAAUUGUAAUCCAUCUUUUCUUUCUUGAAUGAGAUAGUUUUUUUCUGAACAGCCCUUAAGGUUUCUUCGUUCAAUCCUGGAAGAUGUAUAAUUUCAUCUAACUGUAACAACUUUAAACAUCACAAACAUUUUUUAUCAUAUGUGCAGGAUGUAGCAUCUAUAUAAUUUAUGAUGAGGCAAAUGCCUUAAACAACUACCAAGUCUGCAAAUGUUCAAAAGCGAGCUGUUUUCUGUUUUGAACUUAGAAGCCAGAGGUUGCAGAAUAAUAGAGUCAAGGCCCAUUCAAAACAUGCUUUCACUCCCACUCAAGGUUUAAAAUAUGGAGAAUCAAUGCGGUAUUGAACAACGGUAGAUAGGGUAUGCAUCAUAUCAAGGAUCUUACUAAAGGGUAUCAAUAGAUACUUCAUGAUUUGGCGGACCUCAAGUCCCCCUGGAAUUGUCCUCAUGGUAGGCCCACCAUGCGUCACCUGGCAGACUUGAUCAGUAUUCACAAUGCAAGCUAUGGUAACAUGCACUCAGCAGCUGAGAUUAUCAAAAUUUCCUUCCUUGAACUAUGUUUCUGAUAUAGCUAUAAAUAGAUGACCACUAGAGCACAGUGCACAAGUGGUACUUCUUAAACAACCAAUAAUGUGCUUGUUGGGAACUUGUAAAAUCUGAAAAGUGACAUGUUAUUGGAUGGUGGAUUGAACAGAAGACCUAAUAUGAGAAUCUCUCUCCCACGGGAGUAGAGUUGAACCAAUUUCCAUGUAUCAAGAGGUAACCUCAAGACAUGCGGAUCUCCAUUUCUUCCCAAUAAUGUUAUAUUGAGUAAUCACUUCCUCUGUGUAAUAUGAAGAAUGUUUAAAACCUGUCUCAGGGGCUUCCUAUCAGUGGCAUUUGCACACUUCUUGCAUAAUAUUAACAUGAAAAUUUAUGUCU